This 500-nucleotide ribosomal RNA is filed under the name uncultured bacterium. RNAcentral describes it as "bacterial SSU rRNA". It matches the Rfam family "Bacterial small subunit ribosomal RNA", at positions 28 to 513 of the family's 1533-position model. The record is from RNAcentral.
GAUGAACGCUAGCUACAGGCUUAACACAUGCAAGUCGAGGGGCAGCGGGAUUGAAGCUUGCUUCAAUUGCCGGCGACCGGCGCACGGGUGAGUAACGCGUAUCCAACCUUCCGUACACUCAGGGAUAGCCUUUCGAAAGAAAGAUUAAUACCUGAUGGUAUGAUGAGAUUGCAUGAUAGCAUCAUUAAAGAUUUAUCGGUGUACGAUGGGGAUGCGUUCCAUUAGGUAGUAGGCGGGGUAACGGCCCACCUAGCCUACGAUGGAUAGGGGUUCUGAGAGGAAGGCCCCCCACAUUGGAACUGAGACACGGUCCAAACUCCUACGGGAGGCAGCAGUGAGGAAUAUUGGUCAAUGGACGAGAGUCUGAACCAGCCAAGUAGCGUGAAGGAUGAAGGUCUUAACGGGAUUGGUAAAACUUCUUUUAUAAGGGAAUAAACCCUCCACGUGUGGAGCUUGUAUGUACCUUAUGAAUAAGCAAUCGGCUAAACUCCGUGCCAGCA